RNAcentral lists this long non-coding RNA (1061 nucleotides) under Callithrix jacchus (white-tufted-ear marmoset). RNAcentral's name for it is "lncRNA (ENSCJAG00000075349.1)". The record is from RNAcentral. Lineage: Eukaryota; Metazoa; Chordata; Mammalia; Primates; Cebidae.
AGCAUUUCUUACCUGGAAUAACAUAAUAUAAUGAUGUAUAAGGAUAUAAGGAGAAAGGCCAACUUUACUUUCCUGUACCUUUCCUCCAGUCUUGCCCUGCCAUCCAUCUAAAAUGCUAAUUUGAGUUUAUCAUUCCCUGCUUAAAAUCCUCCAAGGACUCCCUGAGCCUUUGGGAUAAAGAACAAACUGCUUAGCAUGACAGCCAAGGUCAUCAUCUCCCACAUCCCAUCCCCCAUGCCUCCUACACAAUUUGCCUCAUAGGCAACACUGAAUGUCUCUAAAACUUAGAAUAUGCCCUGUUGACUCACACCCCUCCUCUAUAUCUUGGCAUAUAUAAUUCACUCUGCCCGAGAUGUCUGUAUAAAAACUCCUACUCACUCAUCUUUCAAAUUUCAACUCAAAUGUUAUCUCUUUUUCUUGCCUGCUUUUUUCUCUGCUCUCAUUUUACCUUGAAUAUAUCCAUGAGAGCUGUUUAUCUUACUGUUUUGUAAAAUGGCUUGUUUUCCAGUUUGCAUCGCUGCUAUUUCUGUAAAGUCCUCCAACUUUCAUAUUAUUAUGGUUUGCAUUUCCUUUGUAUAAAGUGCCUGGCCAAAAGUAGGAACUCAAGGACAGAAAAAUGGAAUGAAAGAAGGAAGAGAGAAUUUCCCCUGCUGCUAGGAUCUGACUUCACUGAGUGGCGCAGGAAAAAAUCAAAAGUCAAUCACUCCAUCAGAAGUUUACAAGAAUUCCUUUCAUUGGCCAGGGGACUUGGAGAGGGAAGGAAUUCCUCGCAGGUUAAAAGUUCCCUUCUUCCACACCCCUUUGGAUUCCAUACUUGUGUCCCCUUCCACACUCCUCGUGGAAGCCUUUUUCUUUCUCCUUUUUCUCUUUCUCUGCCUAAAUAAAUCAUUUUCUGCAAAAAACUUUUUGGGGUCCAGUAUUUACAAGCGCAGCACACCGUGGUCUCAUCUCCCAUUAUUGGGUGAGUGAGAGACCAAGAACCUGGAAAAACGUCCUCUCAGGGGAGCUAAGCACUCCCCUGCACCCCAAAACCCAGACACAAUAUGACCCUGCUCCUAUGG